GAAUAAGAAGCGAACCAUCGCAUUCAGUUUCGACCUGAAAAAUUGGUAUAAAAAUUACCCUUAUUCU
This 67-nucleotide transfer RNA is filed under the name Chondracris rosea. RNAcentral describes it as "tRNA-Arg". Lineage: Eukaryota; Metazoa; Arthropoda; Insecta; Orthoptera; Acrididae. The record is from RNAcentral.